RNAcentral lists this long non-coding RNA (379 nucleotides) under Fukomys damarensis (Damara mole-rat). RNAcentral describes it as "lncRNA (ENSFDAG00000024733.1)". Lineage: Eukaryota; Metazoa; Chordata; Mammalia; Rodentia; Bathyergidae. The record is from RNAcentral.
UUUACCGAGUCCCUGGAGUUGAGCUCCUUCGCAGACCCAGGGCAGCGCGUGGAAGGAAGUGCUUCCACGAGCUUCCAAGUGUGUACCGCUUCGCAUUUUCCAACCUGCAGGUACCUGACAGAGGAAGACAGAUGCAGGUAGAAGCUGGAUGUCGGGAGACACAUGUAAUCCCACCUGGAAAGGUUCUGGUUGAGGAGCCAGAGCUGAGGAGGGGAUGACAGCAUUUGUCAACCUGGCUCGAUCCCAGCCCCGCCCCCGAAAGGAGGUUUAAGAAACACUAGCAGUCAAGCCAUUAUCAAAGAGGCUCAGAAAAGUACAUCGCUCUCAUUUCUUGGUAGCUGAUUUAAUUUUAAUUUACCUAAAUAAAGGGCAAAAUGGG